Molecule: ribosomal RNA, 248 nt
Filed under: uncultured Ralstonia sp.
Lineage: Bacteria; Pseudomonadati; Pseudomonadota; Betaproteobacteria; Burkholderiales; Burkholderiaceae
Description: partial 16S ribosomal RNA
Rfam family: Bacterial small subunit ribosomal RNA
Source: RNAcentral
CACGCCCUAAACGAUGUCUACUGGUUGUUGGGGAUUCAUUUCCUUAGUAACGAAGCUAACGCGUGAAGUAGACCGCCUGGGGAGUACGGUCGCAAGAUUAAAACUCAAAUGAAUUGACGGGGACCCGCACAAGCGGUGGAUGAUGUGGAUUAAUUCGAUGCAACGCGAAAAACCUUACCUACCCUUGACAUGCCACUAACGAAGCAGAGAUGCAUUAGGUGCUCGAAAGAGAAAGUGGACACAGGUGC